UAGGGAAUCUUCCGCAAUGGGCGAAAGCCUGACGGAGCAACGCCGCGUGAGUGAUGAAGGUCUUCGGAUCGUAAAACUCUGUUAUUAGGGAAGAACAAAUGUGUAAGUAACUAUGCACGUCUUGACGGUACCUAAUCAGAAAGCCACGGCUAACUACGUGCCAGCAGCCGCGGUAAUACGUAGGUGGCAAGCGUUACCCGAAAUUAUUGGGCGUAAAGCGCGCGUAGGCGGUUUAUUAAGUCUGAUGUGAAAGCCCACGGCUCAACCGUGGAGGGUCAUUGGAAACUGGAAGACUUGGUGGCAGAAGAGUAAAGGGGAAUUCCAGGUGUGGGAGUGAAAUGCGCAAAGAUAUGGAGGAACACCAGUGGCGAAGGCGACUUUCUGGUCUGUAACUGACGCUGAUGUGCGAAAGCAUGGGGAUCAAAGGGG
This 429-nucleotide ribosomal RNA is filed under the name Actinomycetes bacterium. Its description in RNAcentral is "Actinobacteria bacterium partial 16S ribosomal RNA". It matches the Rfam family "Bacterial small subunit ribosomal RNA", at positions 355 to 776 of the family's 1533-position model. The record is from RNAcentral. Lineage: Bacteria; Bacillati; Actinomycetota; Actinomycetes.